GACGAACGCUGGCGGCGUGCUUAACACAUGCAAGUCGAACGGAAAGGCCCUGCUUUUGUGGGGUGCUCGAGUGGCGAACGGGUGAGUAACACGUGAGUAACCUGCCCUUGACUUUGGGAUAACUUCAGGAAACUGGGGCUAAUACCGGAUAGGAGCUCCUGCUGCAUGUGGGUGGUUGGAAAGUUUCGGCGGUUGGGGAUGGACUCGCGGCUUAUCAGCUUGUUGGUGGGGUAGUGGCUUACCAAGGCUGUGACGGGUAGCCGGCCUGAGAGGGGGACCGGCCACAUUGGGACUGAGAUACGGCCCAGACUCCUACGGGAGGCAGCAGUGGGGAAUAUUGCACAAUGGGCGGAAGCCUGAGGCAGCAACGCCGCGUGCGGGAUGACGGCCUUCGGGUGGUAAACCGCUUUGGCCUGUGACGAAGCGUGAGUGACGGUAAUGGGUAAAGAAGCACCGGCUAACUACGUG
Molecule: ribosomal RNA, 468 nt
Filed under: uncultured bacterium
Lineage: Bacteria
Description: partial 16S ribosomal RNA
Rfam family: Bacterial small subunit ribosomal RNA
Source: RNAcentral